CGGUUACUGCUCGAUGCGUGAUAGACCCUUUUCCAGUGGCCUAUACCAUUCCUGAGGGGGCUGGCUCUGUCGUGGCCCUGGCCUCGUUAACUGGCACCCACCUGACUUUUCAGGUCUCCGGGAACUCUCGUCUCCACGGUUGCUGCGGUUUCCGU
This is a non-coding RNA of Thioclava indica, 155 nucleotides long. Lineage: Bacteria; Pseudomonadati; Pseudomonadota; Alphaproteobacteria; Rhodobacterales; Paracoccaceae. The record is from Rfam.